CGGCACGGGUGAGUAACGCGUAUGCGACCUGCCCGUUGCAGGGGGGAUAAUCGGGAGAAAUCCCGUCUAAUACCGCGUAACGCCGCGGGGCUGCAUGGCCCUGCGGCCAAAGGGAGCGAUUCCGGCAACGGAUGGGCAUGCGUGACAUUAGCUAGUUGGCGGGGCAACGGCCCACCAAGGCGACGAUGUCUAGGGGUUCUGAGAGGAAGGUCCCCCACACUGGUACUGAGACACGGACCAGACUCCUACGGGAGGCAGCAG
This 261-nucleotide ribosomal RNA is filed under the name uncultured bacterium. RNAcentral describes it as "partial 16S ribosomal RNA". It matches the Rfam family "Bacterial small subunit ribosomal RNA", at positions 98 to 354 of the family's 1533-position model. The record is from RNAcentral.